UUCGAUUCCGGAGAGGGAGCCUGAGAAACGGCUACCACAUCUAUGGAAGGCAGCAGGCGCGUAAAUUACCCAAUCCUGAUCCAGGGAGGUAGUGACAAGAAAUAACAACCUAUGUCCUUUUAGGACUGUGGAUUGKAAUGAGUUUAAUUUAAAACACUAAACGAGGAACAAUUGGAGGGCAAGUCUGGKGCCAGCAGCCGCGGUAAUUCCAGCUCCAAUAGCGUAUAUUAAAGUUGUUGCAGUUAAAAAGCUCGUAGUUGAAUUUCUAAUUAGUAAUUAGCCAUCCUCCCGGAUACUAAUUCCUAGUUAUCCGACACUGAACUAUGAUGGUUAUUAAGUUAACCCCAUAGCGAAUUGUCAUUUUACUUUGAAAAAAUUAGAGUGUUUCAGGCRGGCAUUUGCCCGAAUAUCUUAGCAUGGAAUAAUGGAAUAGGACUUUGGUUCAUUUGAUUGGUUAUUGAAUCAAAGUAAUGAUUAAUAGGGACAGUUGGGGGCAUUAGUAUUUAAUUGUCAGAGGUGAAAUUCUUGGAUUUAUUAAAGACUAACUUAUGCGAAAGCAUUUGCCAAGGAUGUUUUCAUUAAUCAAGAACGAAAGUUAGGGGAUCAAAGACGUARAAA
RNAcentral lists this ribosomal RNA (618 nucleotides) under Apostomatida sp. RNAcentral describes it as "SSU rRNA". It matches the Rfam family "Eukaryotic small subunit ribosomal RNA", at positions 378 to 1025 of the family's 1831-position model. The record is from RNAcentral. Lineage: Eukaryota; Ciliophora; Oligohymenophorea; Apostomatida.